CCAGUGUGGAUACUUCCAGGUGGUCACUCUCCCUGAGCUCUGUCCAUGUGGCAUAGGGGAGCAUAGGGCUCUUUCCAGUCUCUUUCCACUACGUUGGAGAUGUGAAGUUGGGCCUCAAGGCUGCACCUGCUUAUUCCUACAGCUUCUUAGAGUCCUGUGGACAAUGACUGAGGAGACAAACCAUGUAGGAAACAGCC
Cynocephalus volans (Philippine flying lemur) is the source of this 197-nucleotide small nucleolar RNA. RefSeq annotates it as small nucleolar RNA SNORA73 family. The transcript has a single exon. Lineage: Eukaryota; Metazoa; Chordata; Mammalia; Dermoptera; Cynocephalidae. The record is from RefSeq and is a predicted model, not a curated record.